UCAGACCCGGCCAGAAGUUAAAAAGCCGUGUCGAGAACGCUUCGCCCAAGGCAGAAUAAUCUGAACUAAUUAAAAAGGCCGCACUGCGGCCUUUUUUCUUUUCUCACGACGGCACGCGCCGUAAAAUCAAGUACAUCACUCUUUACUCGACGGACACU
RNAcentral lists this small RNA (158 nucleotides) under Yokenella regensburgei. RNAcentral describes it as "sRNA STnc540". It matches the Rfam family "Enterobacterial sRNA STnc540". The record is from RNAcentral. Lineage: Bacteria; Pseudomonadati; Pseudomonadota; Gammaproteobacteria; Enterobacterales; Enterobacteriaceae.